AGUGGCGAACGGGUGAGUAACACGUGGGCAACCUGCCCAAAAGAGGGGGAUAACACUUGGAAACAGGUGCUAAUACCGCAUAACCAUAGUUACCGCAUGGUAGCUAUGUAAAAGGUGGCUAUGCUACCGCUUUUGGGUGGGCCCGCGGCGCAUUAGCUAGUUGGUGGGGUAAAGGCUUACCAAGGCAAUGAUGCGUAGCCGAACUGAGAGGUUGAUCGGCCACAUUGGGACUGAGACACGGCCCAAACUCCUACGGGAGGCAGCAG
RNAcentral lists this ribosomal RNA (266 nucleotides) under uncultured bacterium. Its description in RNAcentral is "partial 16S ribosomal RNA". It matches the Rfam family "Bacterial small subunit ribosomal RNA", at positions 94 to 354 of the family's 1533-position model. The record is from RNAcentral.